ACGGCUCAGUAACACGUGGACAAUCUGCCCUGAAGAGGAGGAUAAUCCCGGGAAACUGGGGGUAAUACUCCAUAGUUCGCGCUGACUGGAAUGUUAUACGAACGAAAGAUCCGUCGCUUCAGGAUGAGUCUGCGGCCGAUUAGGUAGUUGUUGGGGUAACGGCCCAACAAGCCUGUCAUCGGUACGGGUUGUGGGAGCAAGAGCCCGGAGAUGGAUUCUGAGACACGAAUCCAGGCCCUACGGGGCGCAGCAGGCGCGAAAACUUUACCAUGCGGGCAACCGUGAUAAGGAAACCCCGAGUGCCAGCACAGGCUGGCUGUCCUCCAGUGUACAAAACUGGUGAAGAAAGGGCCGGGCAAGACCGGUGCCAGCCGCCGCGGUAAUACCGGCGGCUCGAGUGGUGGCCGCUAUUACUGGGCUUAAAGGGUCCGUAGCUGGAUGUACAAGUCCCUUGAGAAAUCCGCCGGCUUAACCGGUGGGCGUUCAGGGGAAACUGUAUUUCUAGGGACCGGGAGAGGUGAGAGGUACUGCCGGGGUAGGAGUGAAAUCCUGUAAUCCCGGUGGGACCACCUAUGGCGAAGGCAUCUCACCAGAACGGGUCCGACAGUGAGGGACGAAAGCUGGGGGAGCAAACCGGAUUAGAUACCCGGGUAGUCCCAGCUGUAAACGAUGCGCGUUAGGUGUGUCAGUGACCACGUGUCACUGAGGUGCCGAAGGGAAACCGUGAAACGCGCCGCCUGGGGAGUACGGUCGCAAGGCUGAAACUUAAAGGAAUUGGCGGGGGAGCAC
This 789-nucleotide ribosomal RNA is filed under the name uncultured archaeon. RNAcentral's name for it is "bacterial SSU rRNA". It matches the Rfam family "Archaeal small subunit ribosomal RNA", at positions 85 to 879 of the family's 1478-position model. The record is from RNAcentral.